This 732-nucleotide ribosomal RNA is filed under the name uncultured bacterium. Its description in RNAcentral is "bacterial SSU rRNA". It matches the Rfam family "Bacterial small subunit ribosomal RNA", at positions 94 to 820 of the family's 1533-position model. The record is from RNAcentral.
AGCGGCGAACGGGUGAGGAAUACAUGGGUAACCUACCCUCGAGUGGGGAAUAACUAGCCGAAAGGUUAGCUAAUACCGCAUACGACUCUCGGUCUGCGGAUCGAGAGGGAAAGCGAUACCGUGGGUAUCGCGCUCAUGGAUGGGCUCAUGUCCUAUCAGCUUGUUGGUGAGGUAAUGGCUCACCAAGGCUUCGACGGGUAGCUGGUCUGAGAGGACGAUCAGCCACACUGGCACUGCGACACGGGCCAGACUCCUACGGGAGGCAGCAGUAAGGAAUAUUGCGCAAUGGGCGACAGCCUGACGCAGCGACGCCGCGUGGGGGAUGAAGGUCUUCGGAUUGUAAACCCCUUUCGGCAGGGAAGAUGGAACGGGCAACCGUUCGGACGGUACCUGCAGAAGCAGCCACGGCUAACUUCGUGCCAGCAGCCGCGGUAAUACGAAGGUGGCAAGCGUUGUUCGGAUUUACUGGGCGUACAGGGAGCGUAGGCGGUUGGGUAAGCCCUCCGUGAAAUCUCCGGGCCUAACCCGGAAAGUGCGGAGGGGACUGCUCGGCUAGAGGAUGGGAGAGGAGCGCGGAAUUCCCGGUGUAGCGGUGAAAUGCGUAGAGAUCGGGAGGAAGGCCGGUGGCGAAGGCGGCGCUCUGGAACAUUUCUGACGCUGAGGCUCGAAAGCGUGGGGAGCAAACAGGAUUAGAUACCCUGGUAGUCCACGCCUUAAACUAUGAAUACUAAG